UUGGUGGCGACCGGCGCGACGGGUGAGUAACGCGUAUGCAACCUACCUAUCGAGAGGGGAAUAACCCGGCGAAAGUCGGACUAAUACCGCAGUAAAACAGGGGCACCGCAUGGUGAUAUUUGUUAAAGAAAUUCGCUGAUAGAUGGGCAUGCGUUCCAUUAGGUAGUUGGUGAGGUAACGGCUCACCAAGCCGACGAUGGAUAGGGGAACUGAGAGGUUGGUCCCCCACACUGGUACUGAGACACGGACCAGACUCCUACGGGAGGCAGCAGUGAGGAAUAUUGGUCAAUGGGCGGGAGCCUGAACCAGCCAAGUCGCGUGGAAAAGGAAGAAGGAUCUAUGGUUCGUAAACUUCUUUGCAGGGGAAUAAAGUGCAGGACGUGUCCUGUUUUGUAUGUACCCUGAGAAUAAGGAUCGGCUAACUCCGUGCCAGCAGCAGC
Molecule: ribosomal RNA, 440 nt
Filed under: uncultured bacterium
Lineage: Bacteria
Description: bacterial SSU rRNA
Rfam family: Bacterial small subunit ribosomal RNA
Source: RNAcentral